AAUACGUUUCUGUUGUGUUAAGCUGUCCAGUGCGUGAUAACGUGUUAUGGUGGCUCCACCAAACUAAUACGGCUUCGAUGGCUGGACUCCUUUCCCAAGGUCACCUCCGGGUCUCAUGUGGUGCCUGCACUUCAGACGAACCAUCUGCAUUCCAGCCACAAAGAAGGAGGAAGGAAGAAGAAAACAAAGACACAACUUUCCCCUGACUGACACAUCCCAGAUGUCGGGCCAUCGUUUCUGCCCUCAUCCCCUUGGGCUGUAGAUGAAGUACCGAGGAGCAUGCGGCCAGCUAAGAAUGCUUUUAUUGCUGUGGGAAAAGACGAGAAGGGUAAUCGGGCACAAUACUGCUCAUUUCAGGACACACAAUCUGUCUCCCUUUGCCUCCAUUACAUGUUUCUGGCCCCCAGAUGCCCCAUUGAUGAAGCCAGACCACCGUCCUUUCCCGGAGCAGCACCCUGCCCUGCUGGCUCCCUUCCUUCCCGGCUCCAAAUACUCUUCUCUGCCAGGGCACUUCAGGUCAGCCGCAGCUCCCCCUUGAACGGCACAGCCCACACCCACUUCGGUACUCAGACGCAAAGGCCCUGGGGCCAGCCCCCAGAUUCCUGGGAAGGUGCACACUGAGACCGGGGGCUCCUGUCUGCUCCUCACCCCACCAGUGUGCUGAAGGACUUAUCCAAGUAUUUCUUCCAAACCAGUCCAGUGCUCAGCCUACCAGAAAACCUACAGAAAGAAAUUUCCUUCGUCUCCAUACAAACGGGACUGUGUCAAAUUUCCAGCCUGGCUGUGGUUCGUUGGAUGUCACCACACAUGGCCCAGGUGGAAAACCUCCAAAUUCAGAACAUCUACCCCUCCAGGCCACUAGCCAAUAGGCCUGGUGUCCAGAGGGGUUGGAUUGAAGGGUCCCUUGGCAGCAGGAGGUCCCCCUCUCACUCUCCAUGUGUUUUUCAUGUGGUUUCAUUGACUCCCGAGCCCCUACUCAGCAGUCCUGGAGAGCUCUGGCUCCAAGACUCUGGGACUCUGCUGUUAAAAGCCCCUCUCGGAGCUGGGGCCUGCUGUAUUCUGUAGGUUGCCAAGUGUCACCUGCAAAGUGGAGAGCACAAUCUUGACGUGUUAGUCUCGGCUGCUGGGAUACGGAGGGGAGGGGAGCAGCUCCAGAGAGCAGCUGUCCAGGCCCCUACUGUGUGCACCCAGUGUCCUGGCCUCAGCUUCCUGGAACUACCACUGCCAGCUCUGCCCUGACUCCUUGUUUGGGCCAUAUUUGCCUGAGCCCAGGGGAUGGACAAGGUUCAUGUCACUUUUCCUGGACAGCUUUUCAGCCCCUAGGCGCUGCAAAUCCUCAGGGGGAGGGGUGACUUAACUCUAUUUACCAGAAACUUCUGAGCCCAGACAAGAUAUGUACACACUGCACCAUACUCCACAUCUCUGCCUGCUUUGACACCUCCCCCCAGGAUCUUGGCAGGAUCCUGGGACCUGGCCCAGGGAGUCAGAGACCCAGGCCAUUCCCCUGACAUGCUGAACGAGGGAAGAGGGGGGUCACAGAGCCAGAAGCUGGGGCACGUAUCUGUGCCCCUCCACCUCUCCUCCUUGCUGGAGAGUUCUCUCUCAUGGGCAGGCCCGGAGGCCUGGGAUUGAGCCCUCACUCACUGCCCAGCGAGCCUGUGUGAGCCCAGACUCUUCGAUGCUAGCAAAGCGACCAGCGUGCACAUGCUCAGCAAAGAAGGGGCCUUUACUCUAUACUCGCAGAGGUAUUUUAGAAAGCCCAGGGCAGCGUGUAGCCACCCUGGGAGGGCUGGAAUCAGACCCUCAGGGGGCACCCUGCCCUGGGGCUUAGCUCUCUGCAGGCCACCCAUUCCAGGCCUGGCCACUGAGGGAACUGACUUCCAGUCGCUCCCACUCAGAGCCACAGGGCAGAGCCCAGAGGAAAAGAGCCCCAAGUGCGGAGCUGAAGGGUUUCAUCGCUGGAGUCCUGCAGCUCUGGGCGAAGCCAGCUCCUCCUCUGCCUUAACCUGUGAUGUGAGCCAACGAAGUCCCUUUGCCUUAAACUGUUUAAUAUUUCACUUAUUUAUUUAUUUAUUUAUUUUUGAGUAAGCGCUCCACCCUACGUGGGGCUCAAACUCAGGACCCAGAGAGGCGCACGCUCCACCGACCCCGCCGGCCCGGCGCCCCUUAGGUAUGCUCUCUUUUCAUGAAAUCAAGCAGCCCCUGGGAGACCAAAAUCCAGUGCUUUCACCUCUGCAUGGACUCUGAAUUGGGAAAACAGAUGGAUCUGAAUCCCUCACACAACAUGAGAUUUGGACAGUGACCAGAACCCAACUUUCCUGUUUAAUGCUUGUAUCCCACAAAUGUUCAAGGAUUUGAAGGAAUUUUUACACUAUAACUAAAGAAUGAUGGCAGUUUAUUUACUAACUUUAUCAAGAAAUAUCUACUUGUCCCAGCAUCAGGCACAAUCACAAAGAUGUUACAUGUCAGAAACCAACCUAAGUGUUUGACAACUUAAAGUACUGGUAAGAAGCUACCUCUGGAUUAUAAAAUUAACAUAACAUUUUAAAUUAAUA
Molecule: long non-coding RNA, 2555 nt
Organism: Canis lupus familiaris (dog)
Lineage: Eukaryota; Metazoa; Chordata; Mammalia; Carnivora; Canidae
Exons: 3
Source: RefSeq, a predicted model, not a curated record